ACUCGAAACAAGCGGCCCGUAUCCAGCCACGCAUGUCCGCCGCCGGCGACGGGGAAGAUGGCGCCGCCGCCGCCGCCGCCGACACGGUGGUCCUGGAGAUCACCGACGCGGCAGCAUCCCCAUCCUCCGCGCCCCCACCUCCCCCCAUCCCCGUCUCCGCCCUCGCCGGCCCCCUCCCGUCCCCGACAGUCCUCGCGGUCCGCGCCGACCGGAGCAGGCUCAUCGAGAGCUCCUCCUACUUCCGCGCCCUCCUCGGCGGCAGCUUCAGCGAAUCGGGCAGCGGCUACGUGCGGAUCAGCUGCGACCUCGGUGCCGCCGUGCAGGUACUCCGGUACCUCUUCGAGCCUCCCGGGAGCUUCGCGAUCUCGCAUCACAACUUCCUGCCGCUGCUGGAGGGUGCUCUGUUUCUCGCUGUCGAGAGCCUUCUAGUGGACUGUGAAAGGUGGUUCAGAACCGUGAGAUCUCGAAAUCCCUCCAUGGUGGUACCGUUGGAUUUCAUAAUCGAGGCCUGGUUCUUCGCUCAAAAGCAUGGGGUUACUUUUGUUGAAGACGUAUGCCCAGGAUAUCUAGCUCAGAAUUUUGUACAAGUUAUCUCCAGUAGGUCAUUUGUUCAUAUACCUUAUGAUCUGCUGUGCUCCACCAUUGAAUCCCCACACCUGACUGUGGAUAGUGAAAAGCAAUUGUGUGAAGCAAUUUUAUCUUGGAUUUCCGCAAGUAGGCAAUCCUGUGAACAAUCAGUCUCCAACUCAGCAGAUAACCAACUCUCCCUUCUUAGCAAGGUUAGGGUAUGCCUUUUACCUUUAGGAUUUGCAGCAGGUACAAAGAGAAACUGCUUUGAAUUUGGGAACAAUGCUGCAUGUAUGAUUCUUAAUCUGCUUAAGGACAGUUUGCAAACUCUACUGUAUACAGUUACCGAUGACAACUUGGAUAGUUACCGUAUUCGAUUAACAGAAUACUCCAAGAAAAUAGUACUUUCGGGAUGUCCCCAGUUAACUACGCAAUUCCUAUACAUAUCGGCGCUCCCCACUGAUCUAGAUGCUGUAUUUAAGAGAACUAUAGUGAGCGAUGUUAACGAUGGAUGUUUGAACCAUUACAAUGGGCUGGUGAAGAAGGCUAAAACCUUGUCAUUUAGAAAUGUACGCAUUGUGGAUCUCUCCAAAUGUCCAAAUGUACAUUUUGGUGCAGCAAUUUUAUGGAUGAAGUGGGCAUUUCCAGAAUUGAGGACAUUCAUAGCUUCCUAUUGUUUACUCUUUCAGUUUGAAGAUUUGCAGUAUUUGUUACUGAGAUGUCCAUGGAUUAAUGAAAUCAAUUUGAGUAUUGAUACAAGCGUUAUACUAUCCAAGUACUCGAUUAUAUCUUCUAGAUCUGAAGUACGGCGUGACGUGAAUCAAAAUCUAUCUAGCUAUUACAUGCAAAGUGGAUUAUAUGGGACCUCAGUAAACCCAGUUUUCUCAAAUAUAUCAAAAUUGAUACUGGAAGGCCGAAAUGAUAUUACUGAUAUGAACUUGCUGGAGAUAUCCAUGCUGAAAAGUUCCCUGUGUUAUAUAAACAUUAAACAUUGCACCCUGUUGACAGACGAUGGUAUAUCUACACUACUGUUGAAUUGUAGAAAAAUGCACUCGAUGAUUCUUUCUUAUACAUCGUUUGGAAAUCAUUCAAUUCAAACCCUAUGCUCAUUGGAUCCUUCAGAUGGCUUUUCUUACCAUAAGGAUGAACAUGCUCAUGUUAUGGCAUUUAGGUUGCAAGAAUUGCAUCUGGAAGGCUGUGAAGAUGGUGCUCUCUGCAACUUCGUUGGCUCUUCACUUGAGUAUCUUGAUAUUUCGGAGACUGUGGUUUCUAUGGUCUCAUUUGCACCAGUUAUACGAAGAAACUCUAAUUUGAGCUGCUUGAAAACAGCUGGAUGCCGUAACCUACUGUUUGAACAGGGUGAGGUACAAUCCACGAGCGGUAACAAGUAUGGCAGGUUUCUUCAGGAGAUAACCAGUACGUGCUAUUUAGAGGAUGUAGAAAUGGGCUGGGCAUUUUGCCCUGUUCGAGUUGAUGACCUCAUUCCUUCUUUUAGUAAAGUAAGGCGGAUGACAGUUGGCCUUGGCACAACAUUACCAGAGAAUAUCCUGCAUGCUCUUCCUGAGAUCUGCCCGUUUCUCGAGUCUUUGGUUCUUAGGUUUCAGGUAAUCUCUGACAGAGUUGUAAGAAAUCUAUUGGAAUCGUCAACAAAUCUUCAGGUGCUAUGCCUGCACUAUUGCCUCGGCAGUUUGACUUCAUUUAGCUUUCAAACAAUGGCACCAGCAUUAAGAAUAUUACGGCUCCAGUGGGUUACUCCAUGGAUCACAAAUGAUGAUCUGACAAUUCUUACACAGAAUUGCAAUUUAGUUGAACUUUUGCUGUCUGGUUGCAAACUCCUUGACUCCAACUCUCAAGAGAUAAUCUCUUCUGGGUGGCCAAACUUGGCAUGUUUACAACUUGAGGAAUGUGGUCAGAUAACACUUGAUGGGGUUGAUUCUAUUUUAGAUUGUAAAGCUUUGGAAGAAGUCUUGCUUAGGCACACCGGUAGAGGUAUUGGAAGAACCAUUAUAACAGAUGCUAUCAGAGAGCUGCCGCUCCUAAGGAAGCUGGCGCUGGAUCUCUGCGACGCGUCCGAGGGAGGCUACGACACCCCGAACGUUCCGGAGGGGAAGAUGAUGAGGAGCGUGAGGAUGAGCAGGUGCAAGAAGUCGGCGGCAGCGGCGAGGUCGUGCUUCGUAGAGGCGUCCUCCUCGAGUUCGAACCCGAAGCCGGUGCAGCACAGGGAGACCAUCGUGCUGGAGUGGAGCAGCCGGCAGCUGACGACCGCCGUAGUGGAAGAAAGACUCUAGUCAUGUAACGGAACUUCUUUCUUUUGAGAGAAAGACUGUAGAACAGUUUAUCUUUGCUUGCAUAAUUUUUCUGGGGAAUUGUCCAAGUAGAGAGGUGUUCUACAAUUUAUAUAGGGAGAAAAGGAAUCGUCCAAUUAUUUGGCGGAGAAACCGGGUAAAUGGAACAUAAGUGUUUUGUGACGUGAAGGUUUUUAAUAAUAUGAAUGGCACGGUUUUUUAG
This 3075-nucleotide ribosomal RNA is filed under the name Triticum aestivum (bread wheat). Its description in RNAcentral is "partial small subunit ribosomal RNA". The record is from RNAcentral. Lineage: Eukaryota; Viridiplantae; Streptophyta; Magnoliopsida; Poales; Poaceae.